RNAcentral lists this ribosomal RNA (164 nucleotides) under uncultured bacterium. RNAcentral's name for it is "partial 16S rRNA". It matches the Rfam family "Bacterial small subunit ribosomal RNA", at positions 355 to 511 of the family's 1533-position model. The record is from RNAcentral.
UAGGGAAUCUUCCACAAUGGGCGAAAGCCUGAUGGAGCAACGCCGCGUGUGUGAUGAAGGGUUCCGGCUCGUAAAACACUGUUGUAAGAGAAGAAUGACAUUGAGAGUAACUGUUCAAUGUGUGACGGUAUCUUACCAGAGAGGAACGGCUAAAUACGUGCCAG